UACGGGGGGGUAAGCGUUGUUCGGAAUUACUGGGCGUAAAGGGCUCGUAGGCUGCCAACUAAGUCAUACGUGAAAUCCCUCAGCUUAACUGGGGAACUGCGUGUGAUACUGGAUGGCUUGGAUUUGGGAGAGGGAUGCGGAAUUCCAGGUGUAGCGGUGAAAUGCGUAGAUAUCUGGAGGAACACCGGUGGCGAAGGCGGCAUCCUGGACCAAUAUUGACGCUGAGGAGCGAAAGCCAGGGGAGCAAACGGG
RNAcentral lists this ribosomal RNA (252 nucleotides) under uncultured bacterium. RNAcentral describes it as "partial 16S ribosomal RNA". It matches the Rfam family "Bacterial small subunit ribosomal RNA", at positions 524 to 776 of the family's 1533-position model. The record is from RNAcentral.